UGGGGAAUAUUGGGCAAUGGAGGAAACUCUGACCCAUCUACGCCGCGUGCGGGAUGAAGGCCUUCGGGUUGUAAACCGCUUUCAGUAGGGAAGAAGCGAAAGUGACGGUACCUACAGAAGAAGCACCGGCUAACUAUGUGCCAGCAGCCGCGGUAAUACAUAGGGUGCAAGCGUUGUCCGGAAUUAUUGGGCGUAAAGAGCUCGUAGGUGGUUCGUUACGUCGGAUGUGAAAAUCUGGGGCUCAACCCCAGACCUGCAUCCGAUACGGUCGAGCUAGAGUUUGGUAGGGGAGACUGGAAUUCCUGGUGUAGCGGUGGAAUGCGCAGAUAUCAGGAGGAACACCGAUGGCGAAGGCAGGUCUCCGGGCCAAUACUGACACUGAGGAGACACAGCAGGGGGAGCGAACAGG
RNAcentral lists this ribosomal RNA (409 nucleotides) under uncultured bacterium. RNAcentral describes it as "bacterial SSU rRNA". It matches the Rfam family "Bacterial small subunit ribosomal RNA", at positions 355 to 776 of the family's 1533-position model. The record is from RNAcentral.